RNAcentral lists this long non-coding RNA (229 nucleotides) under Capsella rubella. RNAcentral describes it as "long non-coding RNA (CRUB_LNC001081)". The record is from RNAcentral. Lineage: Eukaryota; Viridiplantae; Streptophyta; Magnoliopsida; Brassicales; Brassicaceae.
AAAAAUAUCGAAGGAAAUCUCAAACACUGAAAUCAAUUAAUUUUUUUAAAAAAAUUAAAGUUAGUUAGUGUGUUUUUUUUUUGGGUUUGGCAUAGUUGCAAAAUUGAAAUUUAUAAAGAAAUAACAAGGGAAGAGACGUGUGGUCAAGUGUCUCGGCAAGCCAUGUGAGGGGAAUCUGAAUCACUUUUCUAUGCUUAUCAAAAUCUGAGUAUUUUCCACCAUUAUUGAA